This 73-nucleotide transfer RNA is filed under the name Caldilineaceae bacterium SB0666_bin_21. RNAcentral describes it as "tRNA-Ser". It matches the Rfam family "tRNA". From Rfam's summary of the family: Transfer RNA (tRNA) molecules are approximately 80 nucleotides in length. Their secondary structure includes four short double-helical elements and three loops (D, anti-codon, and T loops). Lineage: Bacteria; Bacillati; Chloroflexota; Caldilineae; Caldilineales; Caldilineaceae. The record is from RNAcentral.
GCCCCCGUAGCUCAGUGGAUAGAGCAACCGGCCGCUAACUGGUGGGGCGCAGGUUCGAAUCCUGCCGGGGGCG